This is a long non-coding RNA of Aquila chrysaetos chrysaetos, 6021 nucleotides long. RefSeq lists it as uncharacterized. NCBI's taxonomy places the organism in Eukaryota, Metazoa, Chordata, Aves, Accipitriformes, Accipitridae. The transcript has 4 exons. The record is from RefSeq and is a predicted model, not a curated record.
GUAGUGUGUAAUCUACCCAACAGGAUUGAUCCAGGUCAGGCAUUAAAGGCUAAAAUGGAUUAAACAAAAGACAUUCCCCUUGUAACAAGAAGGAAAAACUUCAAAGGUGGGAUUUGUUCUUGUUAUGACAAAGGAAGUGGAUUUACCAAGUGCCUGGGGGCACACCCCUCCGCGGCUUUCAAUUUGCUCGAGUUGCUAUGAAGAAACAGGACAAAAUGCGUGGGGGUUUUCGCCGCGCGCUUCGGCGCUGCCGGAGCCCUCCCCGGGGUUGUCCCUGGUCAGUGGAAAUGCAGCUGUAGGCACGUUCCCAGUUCUGCACGUCCGGGGAGGAAAGAGGACCUUCAGGCCAACAAAUCUCACCAGGUCUCCAGGUAAGCGUUACAGCCGCUCGCUUUUAUGAGACUUGCACCCUGCCGUGGGGGGAUUAUUGGUUUCUUCUUGUUCUUGAACCCACUCCAGAGCAAAGCUAAUUCUCCUCCCUGGCUGAGAAAAAGGCACAGUGGCAGUAGGCAUGGUGGCAGCAGGGCAUGGUGGCAACAAGUCACGGUGGCAGGAGCGCUGCUGCCUACAACACUGCUCCCUCUGUCUUCUCUAGGUCCUGCUACCACCACAGAGGACCUGCUGUGACUCUGGCACCAAAACCCCACAUCACUCGCCGAGGAAACCCGUAACACCCCAAACUUUUCCCAGCAGUGUGCUUCCACAAAGCCCAAAAUGCACCUUUGUGGCUGGUGCAUCCAGGUCUGGAGCAUCUCAAGGUGGCCUGGGCUGAGCUCCUGGGCAAUCCUGCAAAGGUGCUGCGUGGUGGGACCAUGGUGGCUCCCAUGGUCUCUGAUACCUCUUAUUGCUGGGAUCCAAACUACAGCAUGAAGGAGGCUCUUUGAAACCAAACUUCUAUCAUUUUUAACUAUUUCUUUAAGGGAACAAGACCUUGGGUCUAGUCUGUGUGAUUACAGCUGGGUUAAGUUAUAUGUGUCCAUGUGCCUCUGUGUGUGUACAAGUUUUCCACAUUAAAUUAGGCAAUUAGGCAAUUGGGUCCAAGCUGACAUCAAGAGAAGAGGUCCCCAGGUUUGCACAGUGACAGGCCUAUGGCAAUUAAAUGCGACACGAUCAAUUAUCGAAACGGGAAAGCGUCUUUGGGAAACUCCAUCUCCAUCCGUGCACGUUCUCUAUAUUAACCUACAGAGCUGAGCUACAACUCAUUUAUUUGUGGACAGAGAGGAAGGACUUCCAAUCUUUCAAUGCCUGAUGGCCACAAUUAGGCUCAUUAUCGUACACAGGCCUUGGAAGCACAUUGCAAAAGGCUGUCUCUGAACAUGAGCUGCUUUUCACCAAGUGUCAAGCUGAGGAGCUGGGAGUGAGCUGACUUGUCUCUGAAGGGCCUUCUGCUUGGGUUCAGCAUCCUCCCGAUGAGACCUUCUUGGGCCGAAAGUGGGAAGGACCAUCUCACCACUAGCCGGGAAGGACACUGGAAAACCAAUUAGGACUCAUAAAUGGCAAAUAAGGAUGCUGACAGUUACCACAGAGCAUCUUUCCCUUUUUUGCAGUGCAGUUAUUUUCACAGAGCAUGCCCAAAUCCCUUUAAACACAAGCGUAAAUGGUUUCUGCUGAGAUCCUGUCCCAGCAAGUGCCCCAUCACAAACCUGUCAGUAGAAGAGGGAGGUGGCAGAGGUCUGCAGAGCCUUGAGCGGUGGGGAUGGUGGAGAAGGGUACGGUGUUUCAUUUUGCUUCAUAAAACCAAGACUAGCAGGUUAGUGCAUCAUUUCCAAGAAGCUGUAGGAAGCCCUUCAUCGCAGAAUGCAUGAUGAAGUUGUGGACCUCUUCACUGCAGGAACCCCUGCAGAUCCAUAGGACCACCUCUGGCUGGAAGCAGUUGUGUGGCAGAGCAGUGGCGGUGAGGAAAAGAUGUGAAGGUACCACUCCGUGCUUAACUUCUUCUGACUCGGGCAGCAGUGACUGUCAGGGCUGUAGAAGGGCUGUGGGGUGAGGUGGGCUCUGGGGCAGGGCAGUGAGGCUGCUCUGGUCCUUCUCUGACACCGCUGCCUGGACAGCUUUGGCUUAUUGCACCUGUGCAAAGCUUUAAAGACAGUCCCAUUUAAUGGUAAAUAAUUGAUUUCUAUUGGAAUGAGUUGUUGAGUCAUUCCCGCUGCAGGUUGUCCAGCUCUGUCGCUCUCAUCGCUUUUUUUUCGCUUCCUGAUAUCUAGAUAUUUUCCUAAUAUCUAACCUAAAUCUCCCCUGCCUCAACUUGAGGCCAUUUCCUCUUGUCCUAUCUCCAGCCACCUGACAGAAGAGACCAAGAUGGGCUGUUCCAGGUUGGUCCGUGCCUCAGUUUCCCCUCUCUAAAGUGGGGAUGCUGCCUCGUGGUUCUCCUCCCUGUCUUCUCUGAGCAGAGGGGCAAGGACUGGCACCCCACAGCCCAUUAACCUCCUCCCAUGCCCUCUCUCUGCAACACCUUAUAUUUUGGGGUCUUUUUAUGGGGGUGUCAAUUUUAUGUUAAGGUCCUGGAAGUGUUUUGCAUCUCGUGGCAGGGCAGUGGGAAUGUAGACAACCACAUCGGCCCCAAACACUUCCCAGAUGGUCCCUCCUCAUUCCCAGCCCACUUAGUCAUUAAAAAUCUCCACUUAAAGCACAUAUUGCACAACCUCUUUUUUUGCUUUAUCUCAGCACCCAUCAACACACUGGCAUCGCCAUGGGUGUCCACGAGGGCUGGCAACUCCUCCAUCCUCCGUGGCUCUCCCACCUCCUGCUCCCUCUUGGGCUUCAAAAUGCCGCUCGGUUUUGUUCAGGUUUUAGCAAAUACCUUCUCACCUUGAUUUGUUUCUUUUUUGCCUUCCUAUUUUCUGCUCUCUUGGAACAGGCUUAUGCACUCCGCGAACUUGGCAAGCUUGAAAAAGAUAAGCACAAGUUUGCUGGCUCCGCAGAACCUUGUAAAGGACAAAUGAAGAGUUGCAGAAGACGAAGGCACUGUCCGACACCGUUUCCUAAAUACAGAGGGAUCCUGUGAAGCUCGUCCUCUUCUGGGAUUGUCACCCUGAUCCUGGGAGAGGGGUUCAGCCUUGGUUUGUCUGGAUUCCAGGCACAGAGUUGCAAGAGAAGGGACUUGCUGUGUUGGCUGAACUCUCUGGAGAUGAGGUCCUUGGGAAGCCCUGAGGAAGACAACUGCUCUGGUGAACAAUUGUCACGUCUUCACUGUGUGGCCUGGGACAUUCCCAGUCCCAGCACGGGCUCCCAGUGCCACCAGGCACCUGCUAUCAGAAGUUGACGAAUGUUCUCGUAUCGCCCAGCUGUGAGGAGCCGUGGGCACCACAAAAGAUAACCAGGAAUUUCAUCUGAUGCAUCCACUAUCUGGAAAGAGAUUAUUUUUCUUGAUGCUGAGCUGACUUUUCUGACCAUCUCAGUGUAGAUUUGGAGUCGAGUGUGGGGUCCCAGGAGGGAAAAGGAAGGGUGAUUCAUGUUGCGGCUAUCAGCGUUUCACACAUCUGAGAGAGUGGCGUGCCCCAGCUGAGAACUUCAAUUCACUUAGUGCAAGAUGAAAUGGCAGCUGUGUUGGAUUGAUAAAACAAUAAUAAUCAUGAUGAAAUAAUAGGCUUAAUGCCAGCUACUGCUGUUUAGCCAAAAGGUCAUUUUGACAGAUGUAACUUUUAUCAGGAAGCAUCAAAAUAUCAGAUGCGUUUUUGAUUUUUUGAGGAGAGGGCACUGAGAAGACAAAGUGGGGAUGUUGAACAUGCCAGGACUUUUCUGGGCUCUGGCAUUUGGCUGGAAGCAGCUUAUGGUCUGCAAACGGCAGGUCCUCAGCUCCGGGGACAUCGUGGCCAGAGCUCUGCCGUGACCAGCACCAGGCUCUGCUGCCCUGGCUGAGAAACUCACCCACAAAUCACGUCCCUUUGGCUGAACUCUUAGGGUUUUUAUUUUUCUCUCAUCUCCUGAAACUGUGGGCAGGUUUCUGAUUCCUGCACCAGAAAAUACCUUCCUGCCUUGUCUUGGAAACCCGAUGCAACAUUGCUUUGGUUCCCACCUGCCCUUGGUGGCCUGUCUGGUCCCCACGUGCUGCCUCAGCUCUCCAGGGACUGCACAACUUAUGCCAACACAGACUGUUCUGCCUUUCCUCCCUGGACCAGCUUAGUGCCCAUCCUAAGGAUGAUGGGGCUAAACUAUAUAUACAUACAUGAAAAAACCAGUUGUAUAGCUCUGCUCCUUGCCCAGGGCUGUGUCAGAACAAAUGUUGAUUGGGAAGACUAAGUCUUUAAUUGUGUGUCUCCCUUCUGCUGGUGGCUUUGCUGGAUCUCCACCUCUCUGCUUUCCCACCAGAGCCUGUCCUUGCCCUCCACUGUAACCCUCAAUUUGCCCAGAGGGUCUCACAUCCCUCCUGGAGGACGGACCCUGCUCAUCCCGCUGCCGGGGGACUCUGUCUGGGCUCUCUAUCCUUCCUUGCUGCCCCAUGGGCUGUGCUUUUUCCCUCCUCUGAAGCUCAGAGCGGUGUCCUUGAACCUGCCGUUGCACGUGCAUCCUCACUGCCUUGGGUACCGUGUCCAGGGAUGUCACCGUUGGCUUCCCCACAUCAUGACAGCGUGCAGCCAGACACGCUCCGUCAGCCUCAGGCUGCACAUUUCAGAAGCUCCCAGGGUCCCCCGGCAUCCCAUGGCCAGAGUUUGGGGUCUCCCCUCUCCUGCUUGCUCAAACUGCCGCCUCCCUGCCACUGCGGGUGGUUUCUAGCUUGCUGGGUGUGCACCUGCAAGCAGAGCCCAGUUAAAACCAGUGCACCCCAGUUCAGCAAGGGGAGAAGCGGACUUGCUUUAUUUUUUGUUUUGCGAGUGAGAGGCGCUUUCCAGCGCAAGCCAAAAGCGGGUCUUCUCUCGGCUUCGCCAGCUGAAUUGCGGGACUGCGCUAUUUGCAGCCGAGAAGCUGCUCUCCCACCGCUCCCGGAUCAAAUGCAAGCAGGAGCCGUGGGAGGCCAGCCCAUCUCUAACCACGUGAAUCAAUCUGAAGGAAAGAGACAAAAUCCCCAAAUCUCAAAAUAAUGAAAACAAAGAUAUCCGAGUAAUAAAAUCUGCAAGAAGCACAAAGACAACGUAACUCAGAUCUCAGCUGGCUCAAAGAAAGUGUCUAUUAACAAGGGAUUAGCGGGAGGGAAGUACACAACCAGUCAAUAGGAAGUGAAAAUACACCGCACAGUCGCCUAAUAUCACAGGCCAACGCAGGGUUAGGAUGAAGGCUGUGUUGGGCGAGUUAGAAUAAGAGCUACUCCAGAAAUCUAGCAAAUAAAAAAACAAGCGCUGCAAAGCCUGCCUUUGCUGUGGCGCCUGGUUUUUAAGAAACCUUGAAGACUCGUAGCUCUCAGUCAAAGAAAAAGCAUCUUGUUCUUUCACUCUGCAUACUUAUGUGCAUCCCUCACGUGCUGCACUUCACCGCUACACCUGAGAAAUAGAGAUUUUUUUCUUGUCUUGGGGCUUGUGUAUCUCCUUUCACUGCCAGGUCUGGUCUGGACUCGGACCUUGCAGAUGCCCUGGUAUUUACCUCCCUGGUAACACAAAUAGGAAUAAAAAAUGAGUGAGAUGAUUGAUUAUGUUCUCCCCAUGGCCAUUUUCCAGCUAGUCUGAACGGGUCCAAAACUCUUCUUUCCCUAAAUUUCAAGAAAAUCAGUUAUUCUAUGAAAAGCACUGAUGGAUUGUGGAGUAUUUCUUAAAAAGCAGGGCAGGAGAAAGCGCUGUGUAAUUAAAUAUGCAGAGAGCGUAGCAUGUGUGGGUGAUACAUUCAUUUGGAGUAAUACACACACUUGCACUUCCAUCGUUAUUUAGAGAUUAAACCUGUGCAGCUCCUCAGCGCUCACGUCUGCCCAAAGCCCCCGUGGACUGCAGCAGGCAUUGGGGUCCCUUCUGAAGCCACGAAGCAUUAAACCCUAUCCCAAAAGCCACGUGUGGCUCUACUCUUAAAUGAGUUUUCACAAGCCAAGCCUCGUUUUAGUAACUCAGUGUUUUAACUGGUCUGUGCUAAGAGGAUGGGGGGGAGAGGCUGGGUGGUACC